GACCUUGCCACUCUGCUAUCACUGCUGUGUGCUCUCCAUUGUGUUACAGUCACCUUCACAUCUAUCUGGGUGAUCCAUAGCAAUAACUCAGAAUGCAGGCUUGGGUCCAGCCACACUCUGCCUAGAUGUUCACUUGUUCAGGUAGCAAUGGUCCUCUCCCAUGGUUUAUCUAUCUUAGAAUUUCUACUUUCCCUUCUUCUAGGGUUGUGGAAGCGCACGUUGUCCUUAAUUUUUAAACAUUUCAUCAUUUUAGUUGUCUUUCUAUGGAAUUAUUUUAGCAAAACUAAAAAUCCCCAGGGAUCAGUGAGGUAGGAAUGGAGAUCAAACAUCUUGGAGGUGUUGGAGGACUUGAGAGCAAAUGGGUUGACUGUUCCCUCUCCAAUGGUAUUAUAGAUCUUCCCUGAAGACAAGAAGGAGGGAAGGGUGUGUGAGCUGAUAGUGGUGGCUAGGGCUUGUCCAUGUUGCUUCAUAGCUCUUUUCUACUCUACAGUGCCUGUAGAAGACAGUCCAGACAGGAAGAAAACAGGACAACAAUGAAGAACAACAGGACCACUCAUCCCAGGCUCCUCUGAUGUCCCCUGAACAGGCAGUUUGCUUCUUCAAAUUUGCCAUGCACUGGAAGAGGAUCUGCUCCUUGGGGAAAAGUGAAAGGGAACUCUACAGCAAUGGGCCUCCAUCUGGGAAUUCCAUCAGGGAAAAACAUGCUGAAACAUUUCAGAACAGCAUAAACAGGUGGCAGAAAAUAGACCCUCAGACUCCAAGAAUAAAGGAAAGGCUGUUUUUACGGAGAUGUCUGAAUUAUACACGCUUCAAAAAUAGAGCACUGGAACCAGCAAGGAGGCAGCAAUAAAUGCAGUCCCUGGUUUUGUGGUUGCCAACGAAGAUAUCACUGUCACUGGACAGUGCUGCAAACUCACUUUUUAGGUCAAUAUAAACAGCUUUUUGAAAUCUAAAGAAUUCUUUAAAAUGCUGUCAGAUUUAGAGUAAGAGAAAAAUUGCAGUUUUGUUACGUUGAAAGCUGCUCUACAAAGCCAAGGGGAAUGUCUCAUGGCUUUGGCUGCAUUUGCUUCUGCUAGCAUUACUCUUCAUGUCUGCCUUGCAGAGAGUCAUGCUGGGAUGCUGUUCCUACCGGAUGCAUCUGCUGAGAGUAAACAUAUGGAAAGGCCUUCCCUUCACUAAGGAUAUGUCAUCCUCUUGCUGUGUGAUGGGCAGCAUCACAAUUUUCAUCUAAUUCUGGAGUUUUUCAAAGUAUGGUAGUGCUCACACUGAGCUGGAGGAGGAGG
Molecule: long non-coding RNA, 1283 nt
Filed under: Coturnix japonica (Japanese quail)
Lineage: Eukaryota; Metazoa; Chordata; Aves; Galliformes; Phasianidae
Description: lncRNA (ENSCJPG00005010976.1)
Source: RNAcentral